Molecule: ribosomal RNA, 256 nt
Filed under: uncultured bacterium
Lineage: Bacteria
Description: partial 16S ribosomal RNA
Rfam family: Bacterial small subunit ribosomal RNA
Source: RNAcentral
GGGAAGCGAAGCAGCGAUGCAGAGCAAACCCCUAAAAAUCGUCUCAGUUCGGAUUGCAGGCUGNAACCCGCCUGCAUGAAGCCGGAAUUGCUAGUAAUCGCGGAUCAGCAUGCCGCGGUGAAUACGUUCCCGGGCCUUGUACACACCGCCCGUCACACCAUGAGAGUCGGGAACACCCGAAGUCCGUAGUCUAACCGCAAGGGGGACGCGGCCGAAGGUGGGUUCGAUAAUUGGGGUGAAGUCGUAACAAGGUAGC